ACUUGGAGGAUAGAAUGUGCUGUAGGAAUCUCCAAAAGAGGUAACAAAGGGUAAGCAGGAGGGGAGGAAGAUUGGGAGAUUCAGUCAAGAUCCUCAUUAAAACUGGAAAAGUGGAACUGACAGUCGAGCCAUCAACCCCCAAAAGUCCAUUGGCAAUGCUCUUUGGAUUCCUGAUUUUGGGAUUCCAGAGCUUCAGUGGGCUCUGUGAAACUGCUGCUGGCAUAAGAAGAAAGUGGCGGGGCAGAUGGACUCGUCAAAGACAUGAUUUCUUGGAUAGCGAGCCUCAGUUUUAACCUGUGUAAAGGAUUACUGAUUCCUAUUUCACGCUGUAUUUCUGUAUCUGAUAAGGCAGACAUGAUAGCACCACUCUUCACAUUUGCUCGGCAAGCAGCCACGUACCAUGCUGGCAUCCCAACCCACAGCUGGGAAGAGACAAUACAACACAAUUGAGCGGACUGUGAACUUUUUCCUUUUUAAAAUAAAGACCUUUGGAAAUUUUAAGAA
Molecule: long non-coding RNA, 504 nt
Organism: Ornithorhynchus anatinus (platypus)
Lineage: Eukaryota; Metazoa; Chordata; Mammalia; Monotremata; Ornithorhynchidae
Exons: 2
Source: RefSeq, a predicted model, not a curated record